RNAcentral lists this long non-coding RNA (207 nucleotides) under Hordeum vulgare. Its description in RNAcentral is "long non-coding RNA (HVUL_LNC015680)". Lineage: Eukaryota; Viridiplantae; Streptophyta; Magnoliopsida; Poales; Poaceae. The record is from RNAcentral.
UUUUUUCUUAUUUUUUUCGAGUGCGCUUCAGUGAAGUUAAGCACGGGUAUGCUACAGUGCGGUUCAGAUUGGGUCUGUCAACCGAAAUACUACUAAUUUUUCUAGUGGAUGUAUGUAUGGUUGUGUGUGAGAAGUUUUUAGUUGCGGAGGAAAGAGGGAGAGCAAUCCACUUGAUGAAUAUGACAGAAGUCACAUUUCUGAUGCUUG